CUAACGUUCUUUUGCUUUGCCUAAACAAUGCAUUUAGGAAGUGUCCCAUUAUCAGAUAGCUCAGUGUAUGUGUUUUACCACCAACCAAUCCCACCACUUUGUACCCCUCUCCCUGAUCAUCUUGAGCUAAGGACAAGCGAAUUUCAAAAGCACCCAAGUGGUAGUGCCGUCAUGGCAAGAUGAGCAUCGUCACAUGACCAAAUCUCUGGUCUAUUCUAAGCUUAUAAGCUCCAGAAUUUAAGUCCAAAGAAAGUUCAAAAAAGUCCCAGAGCAAUGACUUCUCCCUCCAGUUCCUACCCAUAACAUUUGUUGAGCAUCAACUGUGCAUCAGCAUUCUUCUAAGUGCUUUAAACAGAUUAACACUUCUCAUUCUCACCCCAUGAAUUAGAUUCACUUUUUAUUUGGGAAAUUGAGGCAUGGAAUGGUUGCAUAACUCGCUCAAAGUCAUAAAGUAAGUGAAAGAACCAGGAUCUAGAUCUUAGUAAUCCAACCUCCAUAUUUCUCUGGCUUUGGAGACCAAAAUGCUUAAAAUAGUGUUUUUCAAGGUUGGUCCAAGGUAUUUGCUUCAGGAUCAUGAGGCAGAGGUAGCAUUUGUUGUUAUAAAGGUGACUCCCUCCACUCCAGCAUUAUCAAAUCCAAAGUCUAUGGAUAGGAAUCCAUAUUUUCAACAAAUACCUCAGGUGAUUUUGCGCGCAUCAAAGCUGGAAACUGAUUGAUUUAAGCAGACCAUGCUUCAGCUCCUACAAGAAGAACCCACUGAUUUCUGAAAGGAAACAGGUCACAUGCAGCAGCUACAGUUACCAGAAUAAGGUCCAAAUGAGGGCUUCUCACCAUAAGGAACUCCACUGACAUGAAUUCAGACAACAGCAAUACAUGGAAGUUGUACUUGCAAAGAUUCAUUAUACACGUGGCAUUCCUAAAGAGUAGAUGACAGAGGAUCUGCUGCCAGCCACGUGUGUCCAAAGCGACGGUGAGGGAGCGGCCUCUUCAUCUACAAGCCUAGGGGUUAACCCUGGAGAUCUUAGUGGCGGAAGGGCCAAGCUCGUCCCCAUUGAACAUCCUCUCCCAAGAGAAAAGUAAGAGGCAGAGAUCCUGAAAGCUGAGGCCAACGGGUACCUGCAUGUAUUUCUGCAGAUUGAUUCCAACGGGAUGGACGUUCAUCAAUUGCCUGAGGAAGAAUUGAUUUUUCAGUUUAGUCCUUAUCAUUCACAGAGGAAAGAAUAUGAAGAUUUUUGCCUUUAGAAGAUGAAAGAUCAUGAAGAGAAUGUGAAAUGAAUGGAUGCUCAUUUUUAAUAUGAUACCCUUUCUGAAAAAUCAAUAUGGCUAAAAUAUAUUUGCAGUAAUUUUAGGGGGUGUCUUCUUUUAUAUCUAGCAAAUCUAAAUCAGAGAGAAAAUAUUUGUUAACUUUAUUUAAAUUGAAAAACAAAAAACCAAUAAAGUUCUCUCCAAGAGAGAAAAACGUGAAGC
Molecule: long non-coding RNA, 1467 nt
Filed under: Equus caballus (horse)
Lineage: Eukaryota; Metazoa; Chordata; Mammalia; Perissodactyla; Equidae
Description: lncRNA (ENSECAG00000059065.1)
Source: RNAcentral